UCCUACGGGAGGCAGCAGUGGGGAAUUUUGGACAAUGGGCGCAAGCCUGAUCCAGCAAUGCCGCGUGAGUGAAGAAGGCCUUCGGGUUGUAAAGCUCUUUCAGUUGAGAAGAAAAAAUUGUGACUAAUAAUCACAAUUGAUGACGU
RNAcentral lists this ribosomal RNA (146 nucleotides) under uncultured bacterium. RNAcentral's name for it is "partial 16S ribosomal RNA". It matches the Rfam family "Bacterial small subunit ribosomal RNA", at positions 337 to 491 of the family's 1533-position model. The record is from RNAcentral.